GUAUUUUUCAUUGUGCCAAAAAGUUGCCAUGACCAUCAUUAAACCUGUUUUAACACCAAAUAAUAAGGAAAAUAAAUAAAAAAUUCGAACUUGGUGCAGAAACUCACUCCAAAUAAAUUACCUUCGAAAAUAUUUAUAUAAUGGUAGAAAUAUUCCAAAAUUCCAUAUUUUGGGAUUUAUACACAAAAGAUAAACAAAUUAGAGGCCAAGAGGCUGCCAGAAGGGAAAAACGGGGCCUGGAAAGGCCAUUGUGAGGAAUGAGCUGGGCCUAAAGAGGCCACUGGCAGGCAGGAGCUGGGACUGCCAAAGCCACCGAAAGGCAGGAGCUUUGGACUGGGGAGGCUACAGUGAGGCGAGAGCUAGCUGGGCGUGGAGAGUCCACUGUGAAGCCGAGGCCGGGCACGUGCAGGCCUUCAAGAGGCAGGAAGCCGGGCCUGCAAAGGCCGACUGGAGGUCAAGUUCUGGGCCUGAAGAGGCCACCAAAAGUCAAAAGCGGGGCCUAGGAAGGCCGCUGAGAGCCAUGAGCUGGGCUGGGCCGAAAGAGGCCACUGGGAGGCAGGAGAGGCUGGGCCUGGAGAGGCUGACUCGAGGAAGUUUUGCACCUGGAGAGGCCGCCGAGAGGACGGAGCUGGGCCCGGGGAGGCCAACUUGCAGCUCUUCCAGGCCCACUUCCAGGAUGACUUGAGUACGACUUAGGCAUGCAGAGGCCGCCGGGAGGCUGGAGCUGGGCCUGGAGAGGCCGACUUCAGGACGAUUUGGGCCUGCAGAGGCCGCCGGGAGGCGCAAGAUGGGCCUAGAGGAACCCACCGACCGGAGGCCGUUGGGGGCCUGGAGACGCCGUCGGAGGGCAGGAGCUGAGCCUGGAGAGGCCACCGUGAGGCCUGACCUGGGCCUGGGGAGCUUGGCUUCAGGAAGUUGUGGGCCUACCAGGGCCACUGGGAGCUGGGCGGGAGCUGAGUCCAAAGAAGUUGUUGGGAGGCCGGAGUCGGGCGUGGAGACGCAGCUGGGAGGAAGAGCUGGGCCCGGAGAGGAUGCCGGGAGGCUGCAAGUGGGUCUGGAGAGGCCGACUUGAGGAGGCCCGGCCUCUGCCUCCCGCAUGGCGGCCUCUGCAGGCCCAGCUGUUCCUCCUGGCUGCAUCUCUCGGCCCACAUCCUGCCUCACAGCAAGCAAGCUCUUUUGGCUCAGCUCCCACCGGCGUUUGUAGACCCUGAAGUUUCUGCAGCCAAGCUCUUCAGGCCCACAUCCUGCCUCCCGGUGGCCUGUACAGUCCCAGCUCUGGCAGCAGAAGAGCGUCUGCAAGCCCCGCUGUGGCCUCCCAGGGGCAUAUCCAGGCCCAGCUCUCCCCCCACUGCGGCCUCCCGGGGCCAAGUCCCUGCCUGCUCCCGGCAGCCUGCGUGCGGCCCUGCUCCUCCCUCACGGGGGCCUGUUGAGGCAGGGGCUCACGCGGACCUCUCUCGGCGUGGGAGGGGCCGGUGUGAGGCAAGGGGCUCACGCUGACCUCUCUCGGCGUGGGAGGGGCCGGUGUGAGGCAAGGGGCUCACACCGACCUCUCAGCAUGGGAGGGGCCGGUGUGAGGCAAGGGGUCACGCUGACCUCUCUCUGCAUGGGAGGCGCCGGCGUGAGCCAAGGGGUCAGCGUGGGAGGGGCCAGUGUGAGGCAAGGGGCUCACACCGACCUCUCUCAGGGUGGGAGGGGCCAGUGUGAGGCAAGGGGCUGACGCCGACCUCUCUCAGCGUGGGAGGGGCCAGUGUGAGGCAAGGGGCUCAUGCCGACAUUUCUCAGCGUGGGAGGGGCCAGUGUGAGGCAAGGGGCUCACGCUGACCUCUCGGCGUGGGAGGGGCCAGUGUGAGGCAAGGGGCUCACGCUGACCUCUCUCUGCGUGGGAGGGGCCGGUGUGAGGCAAGGGGUCAGCGUGGGAGGGGCCAGUGUGAGGCAAGGGGCUCACGCCGACCUCUCAGCGUGGGAGCGGCAGGUGUGAGGCAAGGGGACACGCUGACCUCUCUGCGUGGGAGGGGCCGGUGUGAGCCAAGGGGUCAGCGUGGGAGGGACCAGUGUGAGGCAAGGGGCUCACACCCACCUCUGUCAGGGAGGGAGGGGCCAGUGUGAGGCAAGGGGCUCAUGCCGACCUCUCUCAGCAUGGGAGGGGCCAGUGUGAGGCAAGGGGCUCACGCUGACCUCUCUGCGUGGGAGGGGCCGGUGUGAGGCAAGGGCUCACGCUGACCUCUCUCGGCCUGGGAGGGGCCGGUGUGAGGCAAGGGGUCAGCGUGGGAGGGGCCGGUGUGAGGCAAGGGGCUCACACCAACCUCUGUCAGCGUGGGAGUGGCCAGUGUGAGGCAAAGGGCUCAUGCGGACCUCUCUCAGUGUGGGAGGGUCCGGUGUGAGGCAAGGGGUCAGCAUGGGAGGGGCUGGUGUGAGGCAAGGGGCUCACACCAACCUCUGUCAGGGUGGGAGGGGCCAGUGUGAGGCAAGGGGCUCAUGCGGGCCUCUCUCAGCGUGAGAGGGGCCGGUGUGAGGCAAGGGGCUCACGCCGACGUCUCUCAGCGUGGCAGGGGCCAGUGUGAGGCAAGGGCUCACGCUGACCUCUCUCAGCGUGAGAGGGGCCGGUGUGAGGCAAGGGGCUCAUGCGGCCCUCUCUCAGCGUGGGAGGGGACGGUGUGAGUCAAGGGGCUCACGCCGACCUCUCAGCAUGGGAGGGGCCGGUGUGAGGCACGGGGUCACGCUGACCUCUCUCUGCGUGGGAUGUGCCGGCGUGAGCCAAGGGGUCAGCGUGGGAGGGGACAGUGUGAGGGAAGGGGCUCACACCUUCCUCUCUCAGGGUGGGAGGGGCCAGUGUGAGGCAAGGGGCUCACGCCGACCUCUCUCAGCAUGGGAGGGGCCAGUGUGAGGCAAGGGGCUCAUGGCGACCUCUCUCAGCGUGGGAGGGGCCUGUGUGAGGCAAGGGGCUCACGCUGACCUCUCGGCGUGGGAGGGGCCGGUGUGAGGCAAGGGCUCACGCUGACCUCUCUCGGCGUGGGAGGGGCCGGUGUGAGGCAAGGGCUCACGCUGACCUCUCUCGGCGUGGGAGGGGCCGGUGAGAGGCAAGGGGCUCACGCUGACCUCUCUCGGCGUGAGAGGGGCCGGUGUGAGGCAAGGGGCUCACGCUGACCUCUCUCUGCGUGGGAGGGGCCGGUGUGAGCCAAGGGGUCAGUGUGGGAGGGGCCGGUGUGAGGCAAGGGGCUCACGCCGACCUCUCUCAGCGUGGGAGGAGCCAGUGUGAGGCAGGGACUCACGCCUCUGCGCAGGGUGCCAGCGGCAUGAGUUGGGCAUCAACAGGCCACCGUGAGGGAGGAACUGGGCCGCACGCGGGCUGCCGGGAGGCCGCCGUGGGGGCGAGAGCUGGGCCUGGAGAGGCCCCUGGGAGGCAAGAGCGGGACCUGCAGAGGCUGUUCUACCGCCAGAGCUGGGCCUGUACAGGCCACCGAGAGGCAGUAGGCGGGCGCGAAGAGCUUGGCUCGAGAAAGUUCGGGGCCUACAAAGGCGGCUGGGAGCUGGGCAGGAGUUGAGCCCAAAGAGCUUGCUUACUUGCUGGGAGGCAGGGCCGGGCGACGCCGACUUCAGGACGACUUGGGCCUGCAGAGGUCGCCGGGAGGCCCAAGCUGGGCGUGGAGGAGCCCACCGACCGGAGACCAUUUCGGGUCUGGAGACGCCAUUGGAGGGCAGGAGGUGAUCCUGGAGGCCACCGUGAGGCCUGACCUGGGCCUGGGGAGCUUGGCUUGAGGAAGCUGUGGGCCGACCAAGGCCGCCAGGAGAUGGGCAGGCGCUGAGUCCAAAGAGGUUGUUGGGAGGCAGCAGUCGGGCCUGGAGACGCAGCCGGGAGGAAGAGCUGGGCCCGGAGAGGACGCCGGGAGGCUGCAAGUGGGUCUUUAGAGGCCGACUUGAGGAGGUUCUGGGCCCGGAGAGGCCGCCGGAAGGGAAAAACUGGGCCUGGAAAGGCCGUUUUGAGGAAUGAGCCCCAUGGGCCUGAAGAGGCCACUGGCAGUUGGGAGCUGGGCCUGCGGAAGUGGCGGAGAGGCAGGAGUUUUGGACUCGGGAGGCCGCAGUGAGGCGAGAGGUAGCUGGGCGUGGAGAGUCCGCUGUGAGGCCGAUGGUGGGCCUGUGCAGGCCUUUGCGAGGCAGGAGCUGGCCCUGGACAGGCCGACUUGAUGACAGUCUGGGCCUGGAGAGGCCGCCGGGAGGAAGAGCUGGGCCUGGAGAGGCCGACUGGAGGAAGUCCAGAGCCUGAAGAGGAUGCAAAGCAGCAAACACUAGGCCUGGAAAGGCUGCCCUGAGGCACGGGCUUGGCCUAGAGAGGCCACUGGGAGGCAGGAGCUGGGCCCGCAGAGGUUCCCGAGAGCGGGGAGCAUUGCCCCAGGAGGCCACGGUGAGAAAGAUGUGGGCCUGGAGAGCCCACUGUGAGGUAGAGGCCGGGCCUGUAGAGGCCGCCGACAGGCAGGGGCUGGGCCCGUUGAGGCCACGAGAGGCAUGAGCUGGGCCUCAACAGGCCAGUGUGAGGCAGGAGCUGACACUUGGGCAGGUUGCAAGAGGCAUGAGUUGGGCGAAAAGAGGCCACCGUGAGGGAGGAGUUGGGCCUGUACAAGUUGCCGAAAGGCAGGAGCAGCUUUGGACUGGAGAGGCAGCAGACAGGGAAGAGCUGGGCGUGGAGAGUCUGCUGUGAGGCAGAGGCUGGGCCUGUACAUGCCCUCGGGAAGCAGGAGGCUGGGCCUGGAGAGGCCGACUUGAGGAAGUUUUGCUCCUGGAAAGGCCACUUAGAGACAAGAGCUGGGUGUGAAGAGGCUGACUUGAGGUCGAUUUUGGCCUACAGAAGCCACCGGUAGCUAGGAGUUGGCCCUGGAGAGGCUGACUUGAGGACAGUUUUGGCCUGUAGAGGCCACUGGGAGGGAGAGCUUGGUCUGGAGAGGCCAACUGGAGUAAGUU
This 4953-nucleotide long non-coding RNA is filed under the name Homo sapiens (human). RNAcentral describes it as "HSALNT0123228". The record is from RNAcentral. Lineage: Eukaryota; Metazoa; Chordata; Mammalia; Primates; Hominidae.